AACGAACGCUGGCGGCAUGCCUAACACAUGCAAGUCGAACGCCAUCUUCGGAUGGAGUGGCAGACGGGUGAGUAACGCGUGGGAACGUACCCUUUGGUUCGGAAUAUUCUCGGGAAACUGAGAGCAAUACCGGAUAAGCCCUACGGGGGAAAGAUUUAUCGCCAAAGGAUCGGCCCGCGUUGGAUUAGGUAGUUGGUGGGGUAAUGGCCUACCAAGCCGACGAUCCAUAGCUGGUUUGAGAGGAUGAUCAGCCACACUGGGACUGAGACACGGCCCAGACUCCUACGGGAGGCAGCAGUGGGGAAUCUUAGACAAUGGGCGCAAGCCUGAUCUAGCCAUGCCGCGUGAGCGAUGAAGGCCUUAGGGUUGUAAAGCUCUUUCAGUGGGGAAGAUAAUGACUGUACCCACAGAAGAAGCCCCGGCUAACUCCGUG
This 433-nucleotide ribosomal RNA is filed under the name uncultured bacterium. RNAcentral describes it as "bacterial SSU rRNA". It matches the Rfam family "Bacterial small subunit ribosomal RNA", at positions 29 to 507 of the family's 1533-position model. The record is from RNAcentral.